UACGGAGGGCGCAAGCGUUGUUCGGAAUCACUGGGCGUAAAGCGCGUGUAGGCGGCUUGGCAAGUCGGGUGUGAAAUCCCGGGGCUCAACCCCGGAACUGCAUUCGAUACUGCCUGGCUCGAGUCUCGGAGAGGGUGGCGGAAUUCCCGGUGUAGAGGUGAAAUUCGUAGAUAUCGGGAGGAACACCAGCGGCGAAGGCGGCCACCUGGACGGUGACUGACGAUGAGACGCGAAAGCGUGGGGAGCAAACAGG
RNAcentral lists this ribosomal RNA (253 nucleotides) under uncultured bacterium. RNAcentral's name for it is "partial 16S ribosomal RNA". It matches the Rfam family "Bacterial small subunit ribosomal RNA", at positions 524 to 776 of the family's 1533-position model. The record is from RNAcentral.